This 431-nucleotide ribosomal RNA is filed under the name uncultured bacterium. RNAcentral describes it as "partial 16S ribosomal RNA". It matches the Rfam family "Bacterial small subunit ribosomal RNA", at positions 29 to 507 of the family's 1533-position model. The record is from RNAcentral.
AACGAACGCUGGCGGCAGGCUUAACACAUGCAAGUCGAACGCCCCGCAAGGGGAGUGGCAGCCGGGUGAGUAACGCGUGGGAACAUACCCUUUUCUACGGAAUAGCUCUGGGAAACUGGAAUUAAUACCGUAUACGCCCUACGGGGGAAAGAUUUAUCGGGGAAGGAUUGGCCCGCGUUGGAUUAGCUAGUUGGUGGGGUAAAGGCCUACCAAGGCGACGAUCCAUAGCUGGUCUGAGAGGAUGAUCAGCCACAUUGGGACUGAGACACGGCCCAAACUCCUACGGGAGGCAGCAGUGGGGAAUAUUGGACGAUGGGCGCAAGCCUGAUCCAGCCAUGCCGCGUGAGUGAUGAAGGCCUUAGGGUUGUAAAGCUCUUUCACCGAUGAAGAUAAUGACGGUAGUCGGAGAAGAAGCCCCGGCUAACUUCGUG